RNAcentral lists this ribosomal RNA (468 nucleotides) under uncultured bacterium. RNAcentral describes it as "partial 16S ribosomal RNA". It matches the Rfam family "Bacterial small subunit ribosomal RNA", at positions 28 to 507 of the family's 1533-position model. The record is from RNAcentral.
GACGAACGCUGGCGGCGUGCUUAACACAUGCAAGUCGAACGGAAAGGCCCUGCUUUUGUUGGGUGCUCGAUUGGCGAACGGGGGAGUAACACGUGAGUAACCUGCCCUUGACUUUGGGAUAACUUCAGGAAACUGGGGCUAAUACCGGAUAGGAGCUCCUGCUGCAUGGUGGGGGUUGGAAAGUUUCGGCGGUUGGGGAUGGACUCGCGGCUUAUCAGCUUGUUGGUGGGGUAGUGGCUUACCAAGUCUUUGACGGGUAGCCGGCCUGAGAGGGUAACCGGACACAUUGGGACUGAGAUACGGCCCAGACUCGACUGGGACGCAGCAGAGGGGAAUAGUGCACAAUGGGAGGAAGCCUGAUGCAGCCACGCCGCGUGCGGGAUGACGGCAUUCGGGUUGUAAACUGAUUUCGCCUGUGCCGAAGCGUGAGUGACGGUACUGGGUAAAGAAGCACCGGCUAACUACGUG